UACGUAGGGUGCAAGCGUUGUCCGGAAUUAUUGGGCGUAAAGAGCUCGUAGGCGGUUUGUCGCGUCGAAUGUGAAAACCCGGGGCUCAACCCCGGGCCUGCAUUCGAUACGGGCAGACUAGAGUUCGGUAGGGGAGUCUGGAAUUCCUGGUGGAGCGGUGAAAUGCGUAGAUAUCAUUUGGAACGCCAAUGGUGAAAACAGGUAGCUGGGAGUGUGCUGACGCUGAGACACGAAAGCCAGGGGAGCAAACGGG
RNAcentral lists this ribosomal RNA (253 nucleotides) under uncultured bacterium. RNAcentral's name for it is "partial 16S ribosomal RNA". It matches the Rfam family "Bacterial small subunit ribosomal RNA", at positions 524 to 776 of the family's 1533-position model. The record is from RNAcentral.